AGAGUGCUUUUAAAAAGUACAAUGACACUACCAAAAAAGUCAAGAACUUGAAGCCUUGGAAAGCUGCAAGUCAGAAAAAGAUAGUUAAAACACACAGGACAGUGGAAGGCUGAUUCACCACGCAUGCAACUCCAGAGUGGGUGCGAGCACACAUAGAACUCGCCCAGGUACACGGGGACAGGGCAGGGCGGGAGGGGACGGCGGAGUCAAACAGAUGGCACGAAAGGUAUUCUAUGGAGUGAAAUGUCCAAUCGGUAAAUAAUGUUAGCAGACACCUACCUUGAUGGCAAGGAGGGAGAUGUAAAUGAAAGCCACAUGAGAUCUCUUUAUCAACCCACCAGAAUGGCUAAAAUUUAAGUUGAUCAAUACAGUAAACACAGGAAAAGAUGUUCAGCAUUAAUCACUAGGGAAUUGCUGGUAAAUAUGUGAGCAACAGGAACUUCUGAACAGUGUUGGUGGGAAUAUAAACUAGCACCAUUCACCACCUUGGAAAUGAUUUGGCAAUACCAAAUGAAGUUGGAGAUGGCACCCAACUAAGACCUACCUAAUGUGCUUCUACAUGCCCUAAAGAAAUCCAAGUACUUAUGGAUCAGGAUAUAUGGACAAGAAUGUUCUCAAAAUCACAGUCUAUAAUGGCUUUACUCAAGCGUCUAUUAAGUGAAGGAGCGACACCUACAUGCAAUAAGUAGAUUAAUUUGACCAAAAAUGUUAAUAAAUGAGGUAAUAAAAAUACAAUUCAGAAAUGGGCAAAAAUUAAAGUGUUUGUUGGUUAUAUACACAUAUAUGAUAAAACUUGAGAGAAGCAAGGCAAUGGACGUCAUGAGACAGGACAGUGACUGUCUCCAGAGUGGAGGAAGGAAUACCACCCAGAGCAGAACAGGAGAGAUUCCACGGGCUGCACAUGCUCUGUUUCUUGAAGUGCAUGUUUCCAGAAAUACACUUCUAUAUCCCCUUCCGUCUACAUACCAUACUUCACAUUUUAAUAAAGAAGGAAUGGUAAGGAUGAAUACUACUCAACAAACAUUGCUGGAGAAAAACUCAGCUAUGCUGACUGGUUCAUGGUCAUAAACACUAAAACAAGGUCUGGCCUGGCCACUCUGGUCAAACUGCUCAGGCUCUCACUGACCUCUCUGUCAGGAGCACUGACACAAGUUUUCACUCUUUGCUCCAUGAUAGAUGUGUAUCACUUGGUUUCUAAUAAACCACACUCUUUUGAUUUUUCUCCUAACUGUUCACUCCUCAUCAACACUGCUGAUUUCUUUUCUUAAAGUUGGAGUUUCCCAGAGUCUUCAAUGUCAUUCUCUCUGUACUCAUGCUCUUGGUAAUUAUAAGCAGCCUCAUAAUUAAAUUCAUCUCUAUGCCAAUACUUCCAGUUCAGUCCCCUGUCUUGAGCUCCACAAUGACUCAUACUGUCUAGGUGACAUCAGAAAUGCCACAUGUCCAAAAACCCAUGCUCCCAACAUCCCCAAACCUGCUCUACCACAUGUUAACCAUCCCUAUUUCUAUUUAAGGGCCUUCCUCACUUGGAAGGUGCAUUCUGCCUAUUGCUCAGAACAAAAACCACAGGGCCAUUCCAGUCUUCUCUCCAGCCAGUCCAUUAACACACCUACUGGGCUGCAUCCCCCGACACAUCCAAUUGCUGGAGGUUUCUUCUCCUCCCUUAGGUCCACCACUCUGAUUCAAGCCACAUGUAUGUCACACAUGGGUUACUGCCCUAACUUCCCAUCUGGUCUCUCUGCUUGUACCUUUGACCCUCUAAAAGUCUAUUCUUAACAAGCAGCAGAAAAUCCUUUUAACAUUUAAUGUAGUUUCUGUCUCUCUUGUUCAACAUUCUACAAUGGCUCCGCAUUUUACUCAGGAAAAGCCAACUCUGCCUAUGUUUUUAACCCAGAG
This 1893-nucleotide long non-coding RNA is filed under the name Marmota monax (woodchuck). Lineage: Eukaryota; Metazoa; Chordata; Mammalia; Rodentia; Sciuridae. The record is from RNAcentral.